UGGCGGCGUGCUUAACACAUGCAAGUCGAACGGAAAGGCCCUGCUUUUGUGGGGUGCUCGAGUGGCGAACGGGUGAGUAACACGUGAGUAACCUGCCCUUGACUUUGGGAUAACUUCAGGAAACUGGGGCUAAUACCGGAUAGGAGCUCCUGCUGCAUGGUGGGGGUUGGAAAGUUUCGGCGGUUGGGGAUGGACUCGCGGCUUAUCAGCUUGUUGGUGGGGUAGUGGCUUACCAAGGCUUUGACGGGUAGCCGGCCUGAGAGGGUGACCGGCCACAUUGGGACUGAGAUACGGCCCAGACUCCUACGGGAGGCAGCAGUGGGGAAUAUUGCACAAUGGGCGGAAGCCUGAUGCAGCAACGCCGCGUGCGGGAUGACGGCCUUCGGGUUGUAAACCGCUUUCGCCUGUGACGAAGCGUGAGUGACGGUAAUGGGUAAAGAAGCACCGGCUAACUACGUGCCAGCAGCCGCGGUGAUACGUAGGGUGCGAGCGUUGUCCGGAUUUAUUGGGCGUAAAGGGCUCGUAGGUGGUUGAUCGCGUCGGAAGUGUAAUCUUGGGGCUUAACCCUGAGCGUGCUUUCGAUACGGGUUGACUUGAGGAAGGUAGGGGAGAAUGGAAUUCCUGGUGGAGCGGUGGAAUGCGCAGAUAUCAGGAGGAACACCAGUGGCGAAGGCGGUUCUCUGGGCCUUUCCUGACGCUGAGGAGCGAAAGCGUGGGGAGCGAACAGGCUUAGAUACCCUGGUAGUCCACGCUGUAAACGGUGGGUACUAGGUGUGGGGUCCAUUCCACGGGUUCCGUGCCGUAGCUAACGCUUUAAGUACCCCGCCUGGGGAGUACGGCCGCAAGGCUAAAACUCAAAGGAAUUGACGGGGCCCCGCACAAGCGGCGGAGCAUGCGGAUUAAUUCGAUGCAACGCGUAGAACCUUACCUGGGUUUGACAUGGAUCGGGAGUGCUCAGAGAUGGGUGUGCCUCUUUUGGGGUCGGUUCACAGGUGGUGCAUGCCUGUCGUCAGCUCGUGUCGUGAGAUGUUGGGUUAAGUCCCGCAACGAGCGCAACCCUUGUUCACUGUUGCCAGCACGUUAUGGUGGGGACUCAGUGGAGACCGCCGGGGUCAACUCGGAGGAAGGUGGGGAUGACGUCAAGUCCUCAUGCCCCUUAUGUCCAGGGCUUCACGCAUGCUACAAUGGCUGGUACAGAGAGUGGCGAGCCUGUGAGGGUGAGCGAAUCUCGGAAAGCCGGUCUCAGUUCGGAUUGGGGUCUGCAACUCGACCUCAUGAAGUCGGAGUCGCUAGUAAUCGCAGAUCAGCAACGCUGCGGUGAAUACGUUCCCGGGGCUUGUACACACCGCCCGUCAAGUCAUGAAAGUUGGUAACACCCGAAGCCGGUGGCCUAACCGUUGUGGGGGAGCCGUCGAAGGUGGGACUGGUGAUUAGGACUAAGUCAUAACA
Molecule: ribosomal RNA, 1449 nt
Filed under: uncultured organism
Description: 16S ribosomal RNA
Rfam family: Bacterial small subunit ribosomal RNA
Source: RNAcentral